UUAUGAGGCCUCGUAAUCGGAAUGAGUACACUUUAAAUAUUUUAACGAGGAACAAUUGGAGGGCAAGUCUGGUGCCAGCAGCCGCGGUAAUUCCAGCUCCAAUAGCAUAUUCUAGAAUUGUUGCGGUUAAAAAGCUCGUAGUUGCAUUUGUGUGCCGCACUGCCGGUCCAUCGUUCACGCGGUGCGACUGGUAGACUUGCGGGGCAUAUCGCCGGUGAGCCCUCCGGUAAAACGGGGGGCUCAACUGAAAAUCCUGUCGCGGUGCUCUUCGCUGAGUGUCGAGAUGGGCCGGCAAUUUUACUUUGAACGAAUUAGAGUGCUCAAAGCGGGCUAUCGUUUGGAUAAAGGUGCAUGGAAUAAUGGAAUAUGAUCAUGGUUUUAUUUUGUUGGUUUUAGAGACCAGGAUAAUGAUUAAUGGAAGCAACUGGGGGCAUUCGUAUUGCGACGUUAGAGGUGAAAUUCUUGGAUCGUCGCAAGACGGACCACUGCGAAAGCAUUUGCCAAAGGUGUUUUCAUCAAUCAAGAACGAAAGUUAGAGGUUCGAAGGCGAUUAGAUACCGCCCUAGUUCUAACCAUAAAUGAUGCCAGCCAGCGAUCCGCCGACGUUAACUCUAAUGGCUCGGCGGGCAGCUUACGGGAAACCAAAGCUUUUGGGCUCCGGGGGGAGUAUGGUUGCAAAACUGAAACUUAAAGGAA
This 696-nucleotide ribosomal RNA is filed under the name Neomicropteryx kazusana. RNAcentral describes it as "SSU rRNA". It matches the Rfam family "Eukaryotic small subunit ribosomal RNA", at positions 493 to 1152 of the family's 1831-position model. RNAcentral also lists the same sequence under 21 other names. The record is from RNAcentral. Lineage: Eukaryota; Metazoa; Arthropoda; Insecta; Lepidoptera; Micropterigidae.